GGUCCUAUGGAUUGUAAACUGCUUUUAUACGAGAAGAAACACUGCUUCGUGAAGCAGCUUGACGGUAUCGUAAGAAUAAGGAUCGGCUAACUCCGUGCCAGCAGCCGCGGUAAUACGGAGGAUCCAAGCGUUAUCCGGAAUCAUUGGGUUUAAAGGGUCCGUAGGCGGUUUAAUAAGUCAGUGGUGAAAGCCCAUCGCUCAACGGUGGAACGGCCAUUGAUACUGUUAAACUUGAAUUAUUAGGAAGUAACUAGAAUAUGUAGUGUAGCGGUGAAAUGCUUAGAGAUUACAUGGAAUACCAAUUGCGAAGGCAGGUUACUACUAAUGGAUUGACGCUGAUGGACGAAAGCGUGGGUAGCGAACAGGAUUAGAUACCCUGGUAGUCCACGCCGUAAACGAUGGAUACUAGCUGUUGGAAGCAAUUUCAGUGGCUAAGCGAAAGUGAUAAGUA
Molecule: ribosomal RNA, 451 nt
Filed under: Flavobacterium sp.
Lineage: Bacteria; Pseudomonadati; Bacteroidota; Flavobacteriia; Flavobacteriales; Flavobacteriaceae
Description: bacterial SSU rRNA
Rfam family: Bacterial small subunit ribosomal RNA
Source: RNAcentral